GAACUUCCGUUAAUUGAUUAUGACGUACUUGUACUGAUUGAGAUUUUAACACGAAGUGAGUGGCGAACGGGUGAGUAACACGUGGGUAACCUGCCCAGAAGUAGGGGAUAACACCUGGAAACAGAUGCUAAUACCGUAUAACAGAGAAAACCGCAUGGUUUUCUUUUAAAAGAUGGCUCUGCUAUCACUUCUGGAUGGACCCGCGGCGUAUUAGCUAGUUGGUGAGGUAAAGGCUCACCAAGGCAGUGAUACGUAGCCGACCUGAGAGGGUAAUCGGCCACAUUGGGACUGAGACACGGCCCAGACUCCUACGGGAGGCAGCAGUAGGGAAUCUUCCACAAUGGACGCAAGUCUGAUGGAGCAACGCCGCGUGAGUGAAGAAGGGUUUCGGCUCGUAAAGCUCUGUUGUUAAAGAAGAACGUGGGUAAGAGUAACUGUUUACCCAGUGACGGUAUUUAACCAGAAAGCCACGGCUAACUACGUGCCAGCAGCCGCGGUAAUACGUAGGUGGCAAGCGUUAUCCGGAUUUAUUGGGCGUAAAGCGAGCGCAGGCGGUCUUUUAAGUCUAAUGUGAAAGCCUUCGGCUCA
Molecule: ribosomal RNA, 588 nt
Filed under: Pediococcus pentosaceus
Lineage: Bacteria; Bacillati; Bacillota; Bacilli; Lactobacillales; Lactobacillaceae
Description: bacterial SSU rRNA
Rfam family: Bacterial small subunit ribosomal RNA
Source: RNAcentral